Molecule: ribosomal RNA, 246 nt
Filed under: Streptococcus danieliae
Lineage: Bacteria; Bacillati; Bacillota; Bacilli; Lactobacillales; Streptococcaceae
Description: partial 16S ribosomal RNA
Rfam family: Bacterial small subunit ribosomal RNA
Source: RNAcentral
GGAAACUGGGAGACUUGAGUGCAGAAGAGGAGAGUGGAACUCCAUGUGUAGCGGUGAAAUGCGUAGAUAUAUGGAAGAACACCAGUGGCGAAAGCGGCUCUCUGGUCUGUAACUGACGCUGAGGUUCGAAAGCGUGGGUAGCAAACAGGAUUAGAUACCCUGGUAGUCCACGCCGUAAACGAUGAAUGCUAAGUGUUGGAGGGUUUCCGCCCUUCAGUGCUGCAGCUAACGCAAUAAGCAUUCCGC